This 253-nucleotide ribosomal RNA is filed under the name uncultured bacterium. Its description in RNAcentral is "partial 16S ribosomal RNA". It matches the Rfam family "Bacterial small subunit ribosomal RNA", at positions 524 to 776 of the family's 1533-position model. The record is from RNAcentral.
GACGAAGGAUGCAAGCGUUAUCCGGAUUCAUUGGGCUUAAAGGGAGCGUAGGCGGCUUGGUAAGUCAGUGGUGAAAUCUGUGGGCUUAACCCACAAACUGCCAUUGAUACUGCUGAUCUAGAGUACAGUUGCCGUUGGCGGAAUAUGACAUGUAGUGGUGAAAUACUUAGAUAUGUCAUAGAACACCGAUUGCGAAGGCAGCUAACGAAGCUGUAACUGACGCUGAGGCUCGAAAGUGCGGGGAGCAAACAGG